AACGAACGCUGGCGGCAUGCCUAACACAUGCAAGUCGAACGAUGCCUUCGGGCAUAGUGGCGCACGGGUGCGUAACGCGUGGGAAUCUGCCUUUCGGUUCGGAAUAGCUCAGGGAAACUUGAGCUAAUACCGGAUAACGUCGCAAGACCAAAGAUUUAUCACCGAAAGAUGAGCCCGCGUAGGAUUAGCUAGUUGGUGAGGUAAAGGCUCACCAAGGCGACGAUCCUUAGCUGGUCUGAGAGGAUGAUCAGCCACACUGGGACUGAGACACGGCCCAGACUCCUACGGGAGGCAGCAGUGGGGAAUAUUGGACAAUGGGCGAAAGCCUGAUCCAGCAAUGCCGCGUGAGUGAUGAAGGCCUUAGGGUUGUAAAGCUCUUUUACCCGGGAAGAUAAUGACGGUACCGGGAGAAUAAGCCCCGGCUAACUCCGUG
Molecule: ribosomal RNA, 433 nt
Filed under: uncultured bacterium
Lineage: Bacteria
Description: partial 16S ribosomal RNA
Rfam family: Bacterial small subunit ribosomal RNA
Source: RNAcentral